GCAUUGUAUGAAAGGAGAAUGUCAGCACCUCCCUUGACAAGGAUGGAAGAGGCCCUUGGUCCUAACAUCACACAUACAGUAAGGCUCUGCCACACACUUUGUGGUAUCUAGAAUUCAUUU
Molecule: small nuclear RNA, 120 nt
Organism: Mastomys coucha (southern multimammate mouse)
Lineage: Eukaryota; Metazoa; Chordata; Mammalia; Rodentia; Muridae
Source: RefSeq, a predicted model, not a curated record